This 253-nucleotide ribosomal RNA is filed under the name uncultured bacterium. Its description in RNAcentral is "partial 16S ribosomal RNA". It matches the Rfam family "Bacterial small subunit ribosomal RNA", at positions 524 to 776 of the family's 1533-position model. The record is from RNAcentral.
UACGGAGGGUGCAAGCAUUAAUCGGAUUUAUUGGGCGUAAAGGGCGCGUAGGCGGCUGCGUAAGUCAGAUGUGAAAUCCUGGAGCUUAACUCCAGAACAGCAUUUGAAACUGUGCGGCUAGAGGAUAGUCGGAGAAAACGGAACUCCACAAGUAGCGGUGAAAUGCGUAGAUAUGUGGAAGAACAUCUGUGGCGAAGGCGGUUUUCUAGAUUAUUCCUGACGCUGAGACGCGAAAGCAAGGGGAGCAAACAGG